CAUUUUCAGCCUCAGCACGCCUGCACCCAGGCGCUCAUUAAAACAGCAUGUUGCUCCCCACUGCCUCGUGUUGUCUGUUGGCGCGCUGUCGGGGUUCGAACCGAUACAAGAACCUUCCACCUACCUGGUGCUUUGGCCUCAUCUAUAAGCUUUUCCACUGUCCUGAAACAAGAUAGAGAAUCUGAGUGGCAGUGUCAAGGAGGUGAGGAGAGCAUAAUUUCAGAGUGCGACGUGUGAGGUACUGUCUUCAAGAUCAAGAUACUCAGGCUGAUGGAGCCUCUACCAUCUUCAAUACAUAGUUUCUCAGGCUGCCCUGAGAAUUAGCAUCUAACCAGCAAACAGGGAACAAAAGGAGAAUAUACAUGGGACAUUUUAAGUGGCACUCAUUACUUCCACUAACAUCCCACUAAUUAGAACUUCGUAUAUUGUUGCUUCUAACUGCAAAAAAGGCUGGGAAAUGUAAUCUCUCUGUGUACCAGAAGAAAAACUGGGUUUGGUCAACAGUUAGCCAGUUUCUGCUGAACCUAUUCUACUGGUUAUCACAUAGUCUUUUAUUCUUCUUCCUACACAAGCUAACCUCUUUCUCAAAAGAGACAAUUCAAAAUCCCAGCCAGUCACUAUGUCCAGCUCAAAAUACAGGAUCUCCAAGUGAUAAUGAUGUACAGUUCUUUCUCUAUCUGAUAAAAAUGUGGCCUUAUAGUUCAGCAACAUAUCAAUUAAAAUGAUAAAUUAUCUGCCCAUUUCCUUCCCCCCCACCCCCCCCACACACAGGAAUAUAGCACUUAUUACCUUUUAAUUUACUAUAUACCUAUCUCCUUUGUUUGGUGUCACCUUCCACUAGAACUUAAACUCCAUGAUAGCAGAUUUUUGCCUCCCCACCCUUCCAUUGCUGUAUUCUCAGUGUCUACAAGUAAAUAAUUGUUAAAUAUU
This is a long non-coding RNA of Homo sapiens (human), 930 nucleotides long. Ensembl annotates it as long intergenic non-protein coding RNA 1610. The record is from Ensembl. NCBI's taxonomy places the organism in Eukaryota, Metazoa, Chordata, Mammalia, Primates, Hominidae.